AUUGAACGCUGGCGGCAGGCCUAACACAUGCAAGUCGAACGGCAGCACAGAAGAGCUUGCUCUUUGGGUGGCGAGUGGCGGACGGGUGAGUAAUGUCUGGGAAACUGCCCGAUGGAGGGGGAUAACUACUGGAAACGGUAGCUAAUACCGCAUAACGUCGCAAGACCAAAGUGGGGGACCUUCGGGCCCCACACCAUCGGAUGUGCCCACAUGGGAUAAGCUAGUAGGUGGGGUAAUGGCUCACCUAGGCGACGAUCCCUAGCUGGUCUGAGAGGAUGACCAGCCACACUGGAACUGAGACACGGUCCAGACUCCUACGGGAGGCAGCAGUGGGGAAUAUUGCACAAUGGGCGCAAGCCUGAUGCAGCCAUGCCGCGUGUAUGAAGAAGGCCUUCGGGUUGUAAAGUACUUUCAGCGGGGAGGAAGGCGGUGAGGUUAAUAACCUUGCCGAUUGACGUUACCCGCAGAAGAAGCACCGGCUAACUCCGUGCCAGCAGCCGCCGUAA
Molecule: ribosomal RNA, 506 nt
Filed under: uncultured bacterium
Lineage: Bacteria
Description: partial 16S ribosomal RNA
Rfam family: Bacterial small subunit ribosomal RNA
Source: RNAcentral